This 253-nucleotide ribosomal RNA is filed under the name uncultured bacterium. RNAcentral describes it as "partial 16S ribosomal RNA". It matches the Rfam family "Bacterial small subunit ribosomal RNA", at positions 524 to 776 of the family's 1533-position model. The record is from RNAcentral.
UACCGCGGUCUCAAGCGCUAAUCGGAAUCACUGGGCUUAAAGGGUGCGUAGGCGGACUCGCAAGUGCCUUGUGAAAUCCCACGGCUCAACCGUGGAAUUGCUCGGUAGACUGCGGGUCUUGAGGUCGGUAGGGGCUGCCGGAACAGUAGGUGGAGCGGUGAAAUGCGUAGAUAUCUACUGGAACGCCCAAGGCGAAGGCAGGCAGCUGGGCCGAUUCUGACGCUGAGGCACGAAAGCGUGGGGAGCAAACGGG